Non-coding RNA from Mycobacterium sp. E796, 301 nucleotides. Lineage: Bacteria; Bacillati; Actinomycetota; Actinomycetes; Mycobacteriales; Mycobacteriaceae. The record is from Rfam.
ACGGAAGCCCGGUGAGGCCAAGGUCGAUCCGGAAGAGAAGGAUCGUUCUCCCGAACCUGGCGCCCAGCACGGAACCCGGCACCCACGCGGAGUCAUAGCCGCGAUAAUGGCAGAAGUGUUGCGGGCCUGCGUAAUUGCGAAAAGUGGAAGGCGUCGACGACCCUUUGGGUGGGGUUGCAGCCGGAAGCAUCGCAAGAUCGCCGAGGCCAACCCACGCAGCCCAGAAAUGCACGCUUGGUAACCGAGUCCCGUGCUAGCGGGCGGCGGACCGAAUUAUUCGGGACGUCGCCCGCUUUACAUU